UUACGCCCUUUGAUAAACAGGAGAGAAAAAAGCUGAACGAGGCCCUCACUUCGACGACUUUGUAAUCCUUAGCGCAUCAUAGCUCGAAAGGAGAGACCGGAGCACGACGUGUUGGCGACUCUUCCUUUCUUCCCGUUAAUUCAAGAAAGAAAAUAAGAAAGGCGCUCCACAGACUCCUCGACCCCCUCUACUACUAGUACUAUCGCUCACACCACAGACGCGUCUGUUCGCCAUGCUCCGCCGCCGUGCCGUCUCGAAGCUGGCCACGCCAGCUGCCCUUCGCUUCCUCACCAUCACCCCGAUUCCCAUGCCCGCGCUCUCCCCCACUAUGGAGAAGGGCAAGAUCACGGAGUGGUGCAAGCAGCCGGGUGACGUCAUUCGCCCCGGCGACACCUUCUGCAACGUCGAGACCGAUAAGGCUAUCGUGUCGUACGAUAAUGCAACUGAAGAGGGCUUCUUCGCCCGCGUCAUCACCUCUGCUGGCGAGGAGACGGCCGUGGGUCAGACAGUGUGCCUCAUCGUCGACGAGAAGGAGGGUGUCCACUCCGACGAGGUCAAGAACUGGAAGCCUGAGGCAGAGGAGGCGCCAGCUGCGGCUGCCGAGGAGGCUCCUGCUGCCCCUGCCGCUGCAACCCCUGUGGCUGCUGCCCCUGUGGCGGUGUCUGGUGACCGCGUGAAGGCAUCGCCGUACGCUCGCAAGAUGGCUGCGGAGAAGAACGUGUCAUUGAGCGGCAUCAAGGGCACCGGUGGUGGUGUGGGUCGCAUCACGUCCAAGGACGUGGCGGCUGCCGUGGCAAGCGGCACUGCCAGCUCGGCUGCAGAGGUGGCUGCACCUGCCAAGACUGCUGCUGCUGCGGCACUGGCUGCCCCCGCGAAGCCCGCGGCAGCCAAGGGAACGCCUCCAGCGAACCCCAACUUCAUCGACAUUCCGGUGACGACGAUGCGAUCUGUCAUCGCGAAGCGCCUGCACCAGUCCAAGAACCUGGAAAUUCCGCACUACUACCUCUUCGACGACUGCCGCGUCGACAACAUGCUGGCCCUCAUCAAGCAGCUGAACGCGAAAGGUAAUGGCGAGUACAAGAUCACCGUGAACGACUACAUCGUCAAGGCUGUUGCGCGCGCCAACAUUCUGGUGCCGGAGGUGAACUCCUCCUGGCAGGGCGACUUCAUCCGUCAGUACGCCACCGUUGACGUCUCGGUGGCUGUGGCCACGCCGACUGGCCUCAUUACCCCGAUCAUCCGCAACGCGCAGGCGAAGGGUCUCGUAGAAAUAUCGAAAGAGACAAAGGCUCUAGCGAAGAAGGCGCGCGACGGUACGCUGCAGCCCAGUGAGUUCCAGGGUGGCACGUGCUCCGUGUCGAACCUCGGUGCCACGGGCAUCCCCGGCUUCACAGCCAUCAUCAAUCCCCCGCAGGCGAUGAUUCUCGCCGUCGGCUCCGCCAAGCCGCGCGCUGAGAUUGUAAAGAGCGAGGAGACGGGCGAGUUCGAGAUGACCGGCAGAGUAGAGAACGUCGUGAACUUUUCGGCGUCCUUUGACCACCGCAUCGUCGAUGGCGCGCUCGGCGCCAAGUGGUUCCAGCACUUCCAUGACGCCAUGGAGAACCCGCUGUCACUUCUGCUGUAGGAGCAGACGCCCAGCUGGUAGAUGUAGCCAUGAUGGAAUUUGGGCGGUGUGAUGCCUCCACCGCCUAUCUCGACCACUGUUGUUUUCUUUGACCAGUCUCCCUAAUGGGCUUUGAUGUGGAAAGGAGGUGUUUGUCUGGGUGUCUGUGCUCCUGUGUGUAAAUGGCAGACAGAAGGAGAUGCGUUCAGUGCAAGGACAAGCAAAGGAGACGAAGUGAAGGGUGAUCUUCACCUCCUCUCCCCCUCGUUUUCAUCUUCUCCGUCUGUAGGUGGUGCUGGAGGGAGGGAGGGAGGGAGGGAGGAGGGGGUAGGGAGGGAGCAAGUGGGAGAUCGAGGGAAUUCUCUGCGAGGGGAGACCUACCGACUUCAAAAGACUUCGUUCUCUCCCCUCCCGUUGUGUUUUUGUUCGUUAUCCCUCCCUCGUUUUCAUGUCGUUGAGUAUUAAAAGCGUUUCUGUUUUUAUCAUCUUUUGUUUUGUUGGUUUGUUCGUUUUUAUCAUGCCUUGCGCGCUUGCAGCUGCGUAGCGUCGUCUUCCCGGUCUCGCCCAUUCUCGAUGUCUCCACUGGCGCUGCUAUGUUGUAGAGAAUAUCCUGCUUCUUCCUCUCUCUCGGCGCGUGGGGGGGGAGGGAAGUGCACACAUCGCUCGUGGAGCAGCGCUGCGUCAAACACACAAAAGCCUUGGUGGAAAGGACGAGAUGAGGGACUCCAAGUGUACGCAUGUAUGCGUCUAGGCGAAGGCGUUGAUGCUAAAGAGUCUCGAAGCCGAGACGGCUGUGCUUGAGUAGUGGUCGUCAUCCCACCGUUGCGAUUGUCUGUCUGUUUUGUGAGCCGAGAUUCUCUUCCAUAGAAGCAUUGCAGGUUGUCGGCGCGCGCAUUCGAGCAUUCGAAAACAGCAACAACAACAAAGGCUGUGAGAAGAAGCACAACAGAACCGCAACGAAAAAAAAGGUGAAUAAUCGAACGAUAGAUUCUUCCCCUUCCCUGGCAGACCACAUGCAUCCAGUCUCACCGAUGAUUGCAUCCCUGUACAUGCACACACACACACACACACACACAGUUCGCACCAAGAACAACAACUAAACAAGCAGACACACACGCACGGACAGACGGGAUGAACACAGGCAUAACGCAUCUUCUCACUUUGUUUUAGUAGUGGUCUGUUUAUAUAUAUAUAUAUAUAUAUAAUAUUUGUUUGUGUUACUUUAUAUUCAAACAUCUUCGCCUAGCGCUUUCUCUCUACUUCAACGCACUCAUACACACAAAGAAGGUGCUUUUGCAGUUGUGCCCAACUCUUCUCCCCAGACACAGCCCGCCCUCUCGAAAAGUGCACACGGACACAAAUACAAGGGGUAGAGAGAGAAGCAUGCGAUGACCACAACGAAGCUGGCGCUCGAGACGGGUGCAGUGCUGAUCUGAAGGGAGGAGAGGGUUUGGCUUUCCUUCUCUUUUCUUUUGUUAUUUGUUCUUUCCCCUAUAGGUGUGCGUGUGUCGUUGUGUGUCCGCACUUCGGUAGAGGAUGCCUGUAUGCUGAUGCCGAGGGGAUUGUGGGACGGAGCUAAGCGUGCAACAACAAAAGUCAGAUCAUUGGUUCAGCGUGCACUGCCGCGACACGGUAACACGCAAGCUCGAACGGUUAACGGUCAAUGGAAUGAGUGAGAGGAAUGCGUGUAUGCGUAGGAGUCGUGCACGAGGGAGGCUGCAUGAUUCGAUGAAAACUAUCGGCUUAGGGAAGGGAGCACUUAUUCUAGAGACCGUUUUCUCAUACACGUCCGCAGCGGGGUGAGGCUGCAUUGCCUUCAUUUCGCAGCGCUGUUUGAUGAGUGAAAAGUUCUUCAACUCCAGCGAUGCCACAAAAGCCUCUCGGUGCCUGAUUCUUACCCUUCGCGC
Molecule: unclassified non-coding RNA, 3510 nt
Filed under: Leishmania donovani
Lineage: Eukaryota; Euglenozoa; Kinetoplastea; Trypanosomatida; Trypanosomatidae
Description: gene:LdHU3.36.3890(CDS-product:dihydrolipoamide_a cetyltransferase_precursor_putative)
Source: RNAcentral